This is a non-coding RNA of Streptomyces ambofaciens ATCC 23877, 3123 nucleotides long. Lineage: Bacteria; Bacillati; Actinomycetota; Actinomycetes; Kitasatosporales; Streptomycetaceae. The record is from Rfam.
GGCCAAGUUUUUAAGGGCGCACGGUGGAUGCCUUGGCACCAGGAACCGAUGAAGGACGUGGGAGGCCACGAUAGUCCCCGGGGAGCCGUCAACCAGGCUUUGAUCCGGGGGUUUCCGAAUGGGGAAACCCGGCAGUCGUCAUGGGCUGUCACCCGCUGCUGAACACAUAGGCAGUGUGGAGGGAACGCGGGGAAGUGAAACAUCUCAGUACCCGCAGGAAGAGAAAACAACCGUGAUUCCGGGAGUAGUGGCGAGCGAAACCGGAUGAGGCCAAACCGUAUACGUGUGAGACCCGGCAGGGGUUGCGUGUGCGGGGUUGUGGGAUCUCUCUUUCACAGUCUGCCGGCUGUGAGGCGAGUCAGAAACCGUUGAUGUAGGCGAAGGACAUGCGAAAGGUCCGGCGUAGAGGGUAAGACCCCCGUAGUCGAAACAUCAGCGGCUCGUUUGAGAGACACCCAAGUAGCACGGGGCCCGAGAAAUCCCGUGUGAAUCUGGCGGGACCACCCGCUAAGCCUAAAUAUUCCCUGGUGACCGAUAGCGGAUAGUACCGUGAGGGAAUGGUGAAAAGUACCGCGGGAGCGGAGUGAAAUAGUACCUGAAACCGUGUGCCUACAAGCCGUGGGAGCGUCGGACAUCAAGCUUGCUUGGUGUCUCGUGACUGCGUGCCUUUUGAAGAAUGAGCCUGCGAGUUUGCGGUGUGUUGCGAGGUUAACCCGAGUGGGGAAGCCGUAGCGAAAGCGAGUCCGAAUAGGGCGUUUCAGUAGCACGCUCAAGACCCGAAGCGGAGUGAUCUAGCCAUGGGCAGGUUGAAGCGGAGGUAAGACUUCGUGGAGGACCGAACCCACCAGGGUUGAAAACCUGGGGGAUGACCUGUGGUUAGGGGUGAAAGGCCAAUCAAACUCCGUGAUAGCUGGUUCUCCCCGAAAUGCAUUUAGGUGCAGCGUCGUGUGUUUCUUGCCGGAGGUAGAGCACUGGAUAGGCGAUGGGCCCUACCGGGUUACUGACCUUAGCCAAACUCCGAAUGCCGGUAAGUGAGAGCGCGGCAGUGAGACUGUGGGGGAUAAGCUCCAUGGUCGAGAGGGAAACAGCCCAGAGCAUCGACUAAGGCCCCUAAGCGUACGCUAAGUGGGAAAGGAUGUGGAGUCGCACAGACAACCAGGAGGUUGGCUUAGAAGCAGCCACCCUUGAAAGAGUGCGUAAUAGCUCACUGGUCUAGUGAUUCCGCGCCGACAAUGUAGCGGGGCUCAAGCGUACCGCCGAAGUCGUGUCAUUCAUACAUUAGGGCCAACGCCUGUAUGGAUGGGUAGGGGAGCGUCGUGUGCCGGGUGAAGCAGCCGCGGAAGCGAGUUGUGGACGGUUCACGAGUGAGAAUGCAGGCAUGAGUAGCGAUACAAACGUGAGAAACGUUUGCGCCGAUUGACUAAGGGUUCCUGGGUCAAGCUGAUCUGCCCAGGGUAAGUCGGGACCUAAGGCGAGGCCGACAGGCGUAGUCGAUGGAUAACCGGUUGAUAUUCCGGUACCCGCUGUGAAGCGUCAAACAUCGAGCAUCGUGAUGCUAAGGCCGUGAAGCCGCCCUGAUCUCUUCGGAGUUGAGGGGAGUGGUGGAGCCGCCGGACCAAGCGGUUAGUAGGUGAGUGAUGGGGUGACGCAGGAAGGUAGUCCAUCCCGGGCGGUGGUUGUCCCGGGGUAAGGGUGUAGGCCGUGCGGUAGGUAAAUCCGUCGCACACAAGGCUGAGACCUGAUGCCGAGCCGAUUGUGGUGAAGUGGAUGAUCCUAUGCUGUCGAGAAAAGCCUCUAGCGAGUUUCAUGGCGGCCCGUACCCUAAACCGACUCAGGUGGUCAGGUAGAGAAUACCGAGGCGUUCGGGUGAACUAUGGUUAAGGAACUCGGCAAAAUGCCCCCGUAACUUCGGGAGAAGGGGGGCCACACCUGGUGAUGAUCUUUACGGUCUGAGCUGGGGGUGGCCGCAGAGACCAGCGAGAAGCGACUGUUUACUAAAAACACAGGUCCGUGCGAAGCCGUAAGGCGAUGUAUACGGACUGACGCCUGCCCGGUGCUGGAACGUUAAGGGGACCGGUUAGCUCCAUUUCGGUGGGGCGAAGCUGAGAACUUAAGCGCCAGUAAACGGCGGUGGUAACUAUAACCAUCCUAAGGUAGCGAAAUUCCUUGUCGGGUAAGUUCCGACCUGCACGAAUGGCGUAACGACUUCUCGACUGUCUCAACCAUAGGCCCGGUGAAAUUGCACUACGAGUAAAGAUGCUCGUUUCGCGCAGCAGGACGGAAAGACCCCGGGACCUUUACUACAGUUUGAUAUUGGUGUUCGGUUCGGCUUGUGUAGGAUAGCUGGGAGACUUUGAAGCUCGCACGCCAGUGUGGGUGGAGUCGUCGUUGAAAUACCAGUCUGGUCGUGCUGGAUGUCUAACCUGGGUCCGUGAUCCGGAUCAGGGACAGUGUCUGAUGGGUAGUUUAACUGGGGCGGUUGCCUCCUAAAGAGUAACGGAGGCGCCCAAAGGUUCCCUCAGCCUGGUUGGCAAUCAGGUGUUGAGUGUAAGUGCACAAGGGAGCUUGACUGUGAGACCGACGGGUCGAGCAGGGACGAAAGUCGGGACUAGUGAUCCGGCGGUGGCUUGUGGAAGCGCCGUCGCUCAACGGAUAAAAGGUACCCCGGGGAUAACAGGCUGAUCUUCCCCAAGAGUCCAUAUCGACGGGAUGGUUUGGCACCUCGAUGUCGGCUCGUCGCAUCCUGGGGCUGGAGUCGGUCCCAAGGGUUGGGCUGUUCGCCCAUUAAAGCGGUACGCGAGCUGGGUUUAGAACGUCGUGAGACAGUUCGGUCCCUAUCCGCUGUGCGCGUAGGAGUCUUGAGAAGGGCUGUCCCUAGUACGAGAGGACCGGGACGGACGAACCUCUGGUGUGCCAGUUGUCCUGCCAAGGGCAUGGCUGGUUGGCUACGUUCGGGAGGGAUAACCGCUGAAAGCAUCUAAGCGGGAAGCCUGCUUCGAGAUGAGGACUCCCACCCCCUUGAGGGGUUAAGGCUCCCAGUAGACGACUGGGUUGAUAGGCCGGAUCUGGAAGCACCGCAAGGUGUGGAGGUGACCGGUACUAAUAGGCCGAGGGCUUGUCCUC